AUUUUGUCACCGUUGAGCAGUAAAAGUCUGCAUUUGCAGGCUUUGCAAGGGAAUCCAGUGAAAGUCUGGAACAGUACCCGCUACUGUAAAUUCGUCUACUCCUAUAGGGGUGGUAAACUUGGUGCACCAAAAGUCACUGGCCAUAGGCUGGGAAGACGCAUCAGGCUAUGCGGAUAAGUCAGGAGACCUGCUGUUUGACUAUGAUGCCA
Molecule: regulatory RNA element, 209 nt
Organism: Porphyromonas sp.
Lineage: Bacteria; Pseudomonadati; Bacteroidota; Bacteroidia; Bacteroidales; Porphyromonadaceae
Source: Rfam